RNAcentral lists this transfer RNA (68 nucleotides) under Jaculus jaculus (lesser Egyptian jerboa). RNAcentral's name for it is "tRNA (ENSJJAG00000000034.1)". Lineage: Eukaryota; Metazoa; Chordata; Mammalia; Rodentia; Dipodidae. The record is from RNAcentral.
GUUUUUGUAGUUGAAUGUACAACGAUGAUUUUUCAUGUCAUAGGUCAUGGGGAGUCCAUGCAAAAAUA